GGUCAGGCUGGCCUCGAACUCCUGACCUCAGGUUUUGAAUAUUUAGACCAAAUUCCCAAAUUCUGAAUUCCCAAAUUCUAAAUUCUGAAUUCCCAAAUUCCAAAUUCUGAAUAGUUGUAUAAUAUUCAGUUGUUAACGGUUCUAGGAAUUUCUGAGGAAUUUAUUGGAUUUCAGAAUGAGGUCUUGGAUUUUGUCAGUGUCUGACAGGGAAAGUGUACCCUAACCCAUUUCCUGAGGGAUGAUCAGUGCUUUCAUUUAUACAGGAAACGCCACCUUAUCUCCUUUCUGCCCUAUCCAUGACUUCUUUCUGGUUGUUGAGAAUUGCUGAGUUUGGUUCACUUGCUUACUUUAUCUGACUUAUUAAAGAUAAGGCUGCAUGGUCUAUUUCUGCCUUCUAGUUCUUUCCCUCUCUGCUCCAAGUAAAUUCUAACUCUUACAUGGUAUGUUUUGUUGUUAAAGUUUGCUAACUAAAUAGGUCUAACCACCUUUUGUUGAUUGAUGGAUAGAUAGCUACAAUAGUCCCAGGAGCUUUGUCAGUGUUAACAUUUUUCAGGUUCAGAAGUGAUACCAUUCACUUUGAUGUCUGUAUAUGUGAAUUUGCAAAUCUGUAAGUCCCUCUUUCUUUCUCGCUUUCCCUCUUCCCCUU
Sapajus apella (tufted capuchin) is the source of this 646-nucleotide long non-coding RNA. RefSeq lists it as uncharacterized. NCBI's taxonomy places the organism in Eukaryota, Metazoa, Chordata, Mammalia, Primates, Cebidae. The transcript has 2 exons. The record is from RefSeq and is a predicted model, not a curated record.